GGAGCAGCCACAGCAGCCCAUGAUUCUGGUAGAUUGAGGGUGGAUCAGGUAGAGGAGCAGGCGUGACUGCAGAGGGAGCUGAACCGACAUUUCUGAAAGAAGACGUACAAAUGACCAACAAGAGCUUGAAGGAAUGCUCAGCAUCAUUCAUCAUCAGGGACACGCAAGUCAAAACCACAAUGAGGUGUCCUCUCAUCCCACAGAAUGGCCAUUAUCAAAAAGGCAAAAAUAAAUCCUGCAGAGGAAGUGAAGAAAGGGAACUCGUAUGCUGUUAGUGGGAAGUUGUACAACCACUAAGGAAAACUGUAUGGAGAUUCCUCAAAAAGCUAAAAAUAGAGCUAACCCAGCAAUCCCAC
This 356-nucleotide long non-coding RNA is filed under the name Homo sapiens (human). Its description in RNAcentral is "novel transcript, antisense to KRTAP5-10". Lineage: Eukaryota; Metazoa; Chordata; Mammalia; Primates; Hominidae. The record is from RNAcentral.